This 1352-nucleotide long non-coding RNA is filed under the name Homo sapiens (human). Its description in RNAcentral is "HSALNT0013186". The record is from RNAcentral. Lineage: Eukaryota; Metazoa; Chordata; Mammalia; Primates; Hominidae.
AACUGACUGGGAGCCAAAACCUAGGGUCAGGAAAGGAUUGAAAACAAGCAUGAAUUCACAGAUUCGGGAGGUAACGGAAGUCCUGGGAACCAACCUGUCUCGUCAGGCAGCUCUGUUAACCACUCCACCCUCAGCAGAGUGACCAGAUACACGGAGACCUCGACCUGGGUGUUACAAGUGGAUUACCUCUUUGUUCUGCUACUGAAUCAUUGUAAAUACUUCGGGCAAGUAAAUUAACCUGCUGAGUUUAUUAUCUCAUGAAUAUACAAGUAAAGACAGUGAACUAAACCAGGAACUCCAGAGGAGACCUAAGGUUUGAGAAAGAAGAAUGAGUAUGCAUUCAGUUCCAUGCAGACGCAACACCGUAAUUCUAAUGCAUUUGACCAUUUCAACUUCACAGUCACACAGUAAGGUGAGCUUUCUUGCCAUUUUCCAGAUAAGGAAUUCAAGAUGCAGAGGGGCUUGGAGAUCUCCUCAGGGACACACAACCAUCUGUUUCAGAAUCCACAAAUCCCAGAAUCUCUUAGGUGGUUCCUGCGUCCACCAACCUUGAGAUGUAAUGGGCCAGCAAUGGUCUUUUGCUCAGAGACAGAAUCUCACUACAUUGCCCAGGCUGGUCUCAAACUCUUGGCCUCAAGCCAUCCUCCCACCUUGGCCUCCCAAAGAGCUGGGAUUAUAGGCAUAAGGCACCCUGCUGGCUGAAAUGACAUGUAUAAAAUGAGACUGUAAAUAGUAAAAACUAAGAAUACCUAUGAAAACAAGAAUUGUUAUGAGUAUUCUGAGUGAGGCAAGCAUCUGUCACACACUGAGAUUCACCUGCCCAAGUGUCCUGGCUCUGUUGGUGGCACUUAGAGACAGCAAGACUUGCUUACCUUAAUAUUUUCAUUGUACGUGUCAGAGUAAGGCACAGCUUGAAAUCUAAUGUCUUGGUUGCUGAUGUUUGUGGUCAAAUGAUGAACGACUUUCUGCACCUCCUCCACAGCCUGGGAAAUCUGCUGGCGCCUCAAGUCCACCUGGGUGUGAGAGGGACCAGCAAUGGUGGUUAUUUCCUCUGUGGGCCCCAAGAUACCAGCAUAAGAGAGUGAGGAGACAAGGGUACAGCAAGGGGUGACUGAGGGAGUUCAGCUCAAAAAUCCUGCCUUCCCAAGAUGCCGGGGAGAUGAAUUUAGGUCUGACUCCAUUGAGAAGACACUUGGUGGUGCCUCAAUGUUCUUUUCUGUAACAGAUGCAUUCAUUUGAUAUUUAUCUAGGACCUACUAUGUAGCAGGUGCCAGGCUGGGUGCUGGGGACACAACAGUGAUUAAGACAACAGUGAACAAUGUAGAUACUUGCCCUCUAGCUGAAAAUAUAGG